GACGAACGCUGGCGGCGCGCCUAACACAUGCAAGUCGAACGGAGCGCGCCGAGCGGAAGCCUUCGGGUGGAAGCAUGGCAUUGCUUAGUGGCGAACGGGUGAGUAACACGUGAGCAACCUGCCUUAAAGUGGGGGACAACAUUUGGAAACGAAUGCUAAUACCGCAUAAGACCACGGAGUCGCAUGGCUCUGAGGCCAAAGGAGCAAUCCGCUUUAAGAUGGGCUCGCGUCCGAUUAGGUAGUUGGUGGGGUAAUGGCUCACCAAGCCAACGAUCGGUAGCCGGACUGAGAGGUUGAUCGGCCACAUUGGGACUGGGACACGGCCCAGACUCCUACGGGAGGCAGCAGUGGGGAAUAUUGCACAAUGGGGGAAACCCUGAUGCAGCGACGCCGCGUGAGCGAAGAAGUAUUUCGGUAUGUAAAGCUCUAUCAGCAGGGAAGAAAAUGACGGUACCUGACUAAGAAGCCCCGGCUAACUACGUGCCAGCCGCCGCCGUAACAC
This 502-nucleotide ribosomal RNA is filed under the name uncultured bacterium. RNAcentral's name for it is "bacterial SSU rRNA". It matches the Rfam family "Bacterial small subunit ribosomal RNA", at positions 28 to 526 of the family's 1533-position model. The record is from RNAcentral.